Molecule: ribosomal RNA, 152 nt
Filed under: uncultured Chloroflexota bacterium
Lineage: Bacteria; Bacillati; Chloroflexota
Description: uncultured Chloroflexi bacterium partial 16S ribosomal RNA
Rfam family: Bacterial small subunit ribosomal RNA
Source: RNAcentral
ACUCCUACGGGAGGCAGCAGCAGGGAAUCUUGGGCAAUGGGCGAAAGCCUGACCCAGCGACGUCGCGUGGAGGAAGAAGGCCUUAGGGCUGUAAACUCCUUUUCUAAGGGAAGAGUAAGGACGGUACCUGGGAAUAAGCACCGGCUAACUCC